GAUGAAGAACGUAGCGAAAUGCGAUACGUAAUGUGAAUUGCAGAAUUCAGUGAAUCAUCGAAUCUUUGAACGCAUAUUGCGCUCUCUGGUAUUCCGGAGAGCAUGCUUGUUUGAGUAUCAGUAAACACCUCAACUUCCAUAUCUUUUUUGAAAUGGGAGUUGGACUUGAGUGAUCCCAACGCUUUUCCUCACCGAAAAGUGGCGGGUUACUUGAAAUGCAGGUGCAGCUGGACUUUUCUCUGAGCUAUAAGCAUAUCUAUUUAGUCUGCCUAAAAAACAGAUUAUUACCUUUGCUGCAGCUAACAUAAAGGAGAUUAGUUCUUGUGCUGACUGAUGCAGGAUUCACAAAGACAGGCUUCGGCCGACUUUGUAAACUCGAUCUCAAAUCAAGUAAGACUACCCGCUGAACUUAAGCAUACCAAUAAGCGGAGGA
This 433-nucleotide unclassified non-coding RNA is filed under the name soil metagenome. RNAcentral's name for it is "partial contains 5.8S ribosomal RNA, internal transcribed spacer 2, and large subunit ribosomal RNA". The stretch from base 1 to 120 matches the Rfam family "5.8S ribosomal RNA", at positions 35 to 154 of the family's 154-position model. The record is from RNAcentral.